RNAcentral lists this ribosomal RNA (327 nucleotides) under uncultured eukaryote. Its description in RNAcentral is "partial 18S ribosomal RNA". It matches the Rfam family "Eukaryotic small subunit ribosomal RNA", at positions 1470 to 1796 of the family's 1831-position model. The record is from RNAcentral.
CCCCUAGAUGUUCUGGGCCGCACGCGCGCUACACUGAACAGUUCAACAAGUCUUAACCUUGGCCGAUAGGUCUGGGUAAUCUUUGAACGCUGUUCGUGAUGGGGAUAGAUGAUUGCAAUUAUUCAUCUUCAACGAGGAAUUCCUAGUAAACGCAAGUCAUCAGCUUGCAUUGAUUACGUCCCUGCCCUUUGUACACACCGCCCGUCGCACCUACCGAUUGAAUGGUCCGGUGAAAUCUUCGGAUCUGAGAGAUGUCUGAUUAAUUUCGGACGCCUUUUGGAAAAGUUGUUUAAACCUUACCAUUUAGAGGAAGGUGAAGUCGUANCA